UACGUAGGGCGCAAGCGUUGUCCGGAAUUAUUGGGCGUAAAGAGCUCGUAGGCGGUGUGUCGCGUCGGCCGUGAAAACCUGCAGCUUAACUGUGGGCUUGCGGUCGAUACGGGCAUCACUGGAGUUCGGCAGGGGAGACUGGAAUUCCGUGGUGUAGCGGUGAAAUGCGCAGAUAUCAGGAGGAACACCGGUGGCGAAGGCGGUGCUCUGGGCCGAAACUGACGCUGAGGAGCGAAAGCGUGGGUAGCAAACAGG
RNAcentral lists this ribosomal RNA (255 nucleotides) under uncultured bacterium. Its description in RNAcentral is "partial 16S ribosomal RNA". It matches the Rfam family "Bacterial small subunit ribosomal RNA", at positions 524 to 776 of the family's 1533-position model. The record is from RNAcentral.